This 497-nucleotide ribosomal RNA is filed under the name uncultured bacterium. Its description in RNAcentral is "partial 16S ribosomal RNA". It matches the Rfam family "Bacterial small subunit ribosomal RNA", at positions 28 to 507 of the family's 1533-position model. The record is from RNAcentral.
GAUGAACGCUGGCGGCGUGCCUAAUACAUGCAAGUCGAGCGAAGAGAUGAGGCGCUUGCUCCUCUGACGGUACGGGCGGAUGGGUGAUUAACACGUGGAUAACCUACCUAGGAGACUGGGAUAACUUCGGGAAACCUGAGCUAAGAUCAGAGCAUAUAUUGAACGGCAUGGUUCAAUAGUUAUCGGCGGGUUGGCUGGCACUCAUACAUGGAUCCGCGCCGCAGGGGCGAGUUGGUAGGGUAACGGCUUCCCAAGGCAACGAGGCGUAGCCGACCUGGGAGGCUGAUCGGCCGCCCUGGAACUGGGCCACGGUCCAGGCUCCUACGGGAGGCCGCAGUCGGGAAUCUUCCGCAGUGGGCGAAAGCCUGACGGAGCAAGGCCGCGUGAGUGAUGAAGGUCUUCGGAUCGUAAAGCUCUGUUAUUAGGGAAGAACCAAUGUGUGAGUAGCUAUGCCCGUCUUGACGGUACCUACUCAGAAAGCCCCGGCUAACUACGUG